GAUGAACGCUGGCGGCGUGCCUAAUACAUGCAAGUCGAGCGAAUGGAUUAAGAGCUUGCUCUUAUGAAGUUAGCGGCGGACGGGUGAGUAACACGUGGGUAACCUGCCCAUAAGACUGGGAUAACUCCGGGAAACCGGGGCUAAUACCGGAUAACAUUUUGAACCGCAUGGUUCGAAAUUGAAAGGCGGCUUCGGCUGUCACUUAUGGAUGGACCCGCGUCGCAUUAGCUAGUUGGUGAGGUAACGGCUCACCAAGGCAACGAAGCGUAGCCGACCUGAGAGGGUGAUCGGGCACACUUGGACUGAGACACGGCCCAGACUCCUACGGGAGGCAGCAGUAGGGAAUCUUCCGCAAUGGACGAAAGUCUGACGGAGCAACGCCGCGUGAGUGAUGAAGGCUUUCGGGUCGUAAAACUCUGUUGUUAGGGAAGAACAAGUGCUAGUUGAAUAAGCUGGCACCUUGACGGUACCUAACCAGAAAGCCACGGCUAACUACGUGCCAGCCGCCGCAGUAA
This 515-nucleotide ribosomal RNA is filed under the name uncultured bacterium. RNAcentral describes it as "partial 16S ribosomal RNA". It matches the Rfam family "Bacterial small subunit ribosomal RNA", at positions 28 to 523 of the family's 1533-position model. The record is from RNAcentral.